GGGAGAUUGUGGAUUACAGAGAGGAUGUGACUGGGCCGUGAGAUUUUAGUUUUGAGGAAUUUUCCCAGUGCUCAAACUUAUUUCUGACCUGUUGUGUCAUAGCUCUGAGGUUAAGGGUUAGGUAUCAGUCUGUCUAAUUAAAUGUAAUCUGUAUGGAAAACCAUACUUGUGUGUGUGCAUGUAGAUUUAUAUUUUGCGCUUCUCUCUAUGUGUGUAUAUGUGAAAAAGCCAGUUUUAGCAUACCAGUUGGCAGUUAAGUGUGUUUGAGCGAGUGUGCAUGCAUUCAUGCAUGUGUACAUGGUGUAUGUGUACAUAUGCUUGUGUGUGUGUGUGUGUGUGUGUGUGUGUGUGUGUGUGUGUGUGUGUGUGUGUGUGUGUGUGUGUGUGUGUGUGUGUGUGUGUGUGUGUGUGUGUGUGUGUGUGUGUGUGUGUGUGUGUGUGUGUGUGCGUGAAUGUGUGUGUCUUCAUUUCACAGGAUAUGCUGCAAUCCCCACCCUCCUCCCCAUGGCUGUAAAGUGAAAAGGCAUUAUUUGCAUAAGCUAUAUCUGUGUGGAAGGAAGGUAACUAGCGGAGUUAGCGAAUUAUUAAGCCUCUCGGGUAUAAAAGGGUCUUGUUAAGAGAAAGGGGUGAGACAAGGAAGGGCUCUGUCCCAGUACUUCUAAAUAAUGUCCUUUCCUUCAUGUCCUUUUAGAACAGUAGUGAUGAAGGAAAGAAAAUUAGGAAACGGAGCUACUGUCAAGUAGGGGGCAAGGAGUGUGGGCAAGGAGGGGCAAGGAGUGUGAAUAGAGUGGGAGCAGAGAAGAUCUGUGAAGAUGCUACCUUCAUAAAAGACUAUGGUUUCAACUAUGCCGGAUGGUGCGUUUGGGCAGUGCUGAUACCGCUUCCCUUAUCAACUCUAUCACUUCCUCUUCCUCCUUCCUACUCCGAUAACCUAGGAAGAGCAUUGUGAUGUCACACCGACCCUUCCUUUUUCCAGGGAGAGUGAGUGCAGCUGGGAGAUAUCAACCGACGCUGCACCCGUCGCACAAUAAACAGAGAAAAGGCUCAGUCUCCGUUUGUUUCUUUUGGCUCCCCACACAACAUGUGUUUCUUUGUUGAGUACGGUAUGGCAACAAUGCUUGCCAGUCAAGGAGUUAAAUGUCCAAUGCAGCCGUUUUUAUGUCAAUUUCAUUUCUUAGACAACAAUGAAUUAAUUACCUUAUAUGGAAACCACGUUUGAAUCCGUUCCAUUUAUUCCAUUCCAGCCAUUACAAUGAGCCCGUCCUACUAUAGCCUCCCACCAGCCCCAUGAUUUUUGGGUAACGAUUAAGUACCUUACUGUCAUUGUUUUCAAUUAACUAAGAGCAAUUUCUCAAGCAAGAAUUUAGCUAGGACUGUCUGGGAAUGGAGGGGAGGGGCUGAAAACCAGCUGUUAAUGGCAGAGAUGUUUGGAACCCUUGAUCUCUUUAUCACUUUUUUUUAAUUAUUAUUUUAUUUUACCCCUUUUUCUCCCCAACUUCGUGGUAUCCAAUUGGAAGUUACAGUCUUGUCUCAUCGCUGCAACUCCCGUUACGGAGAGGCGAAGGUCAAGAGCCGUGCGUCCUCCGAAACACAACCCAGCCAAGCUGCACUGCUUCUUGACACAAUGCCCACUUAACCAGGAAGCCAGCCGCACCAAUGUGUCGGAGGAAACACCGUACACCUGGUGACCUAGUCAGCGUGCACUGCAUGCGGCCCGCCACAGGAGUCGCUAGUGCGCGAUGGGACAAGGACAUCCCUGCCGACCAAACCCUCCCCUAACCCGGACGACGCUGGGCCAAUUGUGCGCCGCCCCAUG
Molecule: long non-coding RNA, 1816 nt
Filed under: Salmo salar (Atlantic salmon)
Lineage: Eukaryota; Metazoa; Chordata; Actinopteri; Salmoniformes; Salmonidae
Description: lncRNA (ENSSSAG00000084322.1)
Source: RNAcentral